This is a non-coding RNA of Arachis ipaensis, 764 nucleotides long. The record is from RefSeq and is a predicted model, not a curated record. NCBI's taxonomy places the organism in Eukaryota, Viridiplantae, Streptophyta, Magnoliopsida, Fabales, Fabaceae.
UCAAAUUCGAUAUGAUUGUUGCAGAACAUUUUGGCAGUGAUUUUCAUUGUACAACUUCUAUUGGUCUUUAUCCAUAGCACUGUCUCAAUUUAUUGACUUCCCAAUUUAUCGUGCAUAAACUGAGAUUUGAAAAACAUGUGUUGGAUUUUGCCUUUUGACCCACUUUUGUGUUUACUUAUUCCACUCACUAUAUGAAAUGUGUGAUUUUUUUUUUGUGGCUAUUCCUGAUGAAUGAAGAAAUCCACCAUUAAUGAGCUGCCGAUUACUUCCAUUAUUUUCCCUGUCUAUUGUUUUUGAAAUAUAUUGCAAUUUGUUUAAUUUUGCAGAUCUAUUAUAUGCUUAUGAAUGGCGUGGCUGGAGCUUGGAAAGAAGAGAAUUUAUAUGAAUAUUUCUAGAGCUUUGAAUACAUCUUCAUUUAGGCUUGUGGCAGGGUCAAGCAGUGGACCUAUUUAACUUUUAUGUGCAUAACAUCCUUGACCAGCAGCCAUUCAUAGCCCCGAAAGCAAUGACAUUGUUUUGGAAAUUUUUUCGUUUAGGUUGGUUUAUGUUUCUAACAUUCUUUGGUACAUUUCCACAUGUAAUUCAUGGUUAAACCUAAUGCUUAGUUGCAAAACCUCAUUAUUUGUGCUAAAUUGUGGUCUGAGGGACGAGGUGGAAUGUUGAAUGUGUUCCAUUAUUAACAAUCUAUUAUAACGAGUCACCUUCAUUGUACUCUUAGUUGGAACACUUAAUGAUAAUUAUGAUUUUUGAUGAGUUGCACCUUU